This 492-nucleotide ribosomal RNA is filed under the name uncultured bacterium. RNAcentral describes it as "partial 16S ribosomal RNA". It matches the Rfam family "Bacterial small subunit ribosomal RNA", at positions 29 to 507 of the family's 1533-position model. The record is from RNAcentral.
AGUGAACGCUGGCGGUAGGCCUAACACAUGCAAGUCGAACGGCAGCACAGUAAGAGCUUGCUCUUACGGGUGGCGAGUGGCGGACGGGUGAGGAAUACAUCGGAAUCUACUUUUUCGUGGGGGAUAACGUAGGGAAACUUACGCUAAUACCGCAUACGACCUACGGGUGAAAGCAGGGGAUCUUCGGACCUUUCGCGAUUGAAUGAGCCGAUGUCGGAUUAGCUAGUUGGCGGGGUAAAGGCCCACCAAGGCGACGAUCCGUAGCUGGUCUGAGAGGAUGAUCAGCCACACUGGAACUGAGACACGGUCCAGACUCCUACGGGAGGCAGCAGUGGGGAAUAUGGGACAAUGGGCGGAAGCCUGAUCCAGCCAUACCGCGUGGGUGAAGAAGGCCUUCGGGUUGUAAAGCCCUUUUGUUGGGAAAGAAAAGCAGCAGGUUAAUACCCCGCUGUUCUGACGGUACCCAAAGAAUAAGCACCGGCUAACUUCGUG